RNAcentral lists this ribosomal RNA (128 nucleotides) under Neogale vison (American mink). Lineage: Eukaryota; Metazoa; Chordata; Mammalia; Carnivora; Mustelidae. The record is from RNAcentral.
UUGAAAUUGCCAUACCACCCUGAACGCGCCCGAUCUCGUCUGAUCUCGGAAGCUAAGCAGGGUCGGGCCUGGUUAGUACUUGGAUGGGAGAUUGUUAUUUUCUCUUUACAAUUUAGUUACUAUUCAGA